This 94-nucleotide microRNA precursor is filed under the name Podarcis lilfordi (Lilford's wall lizard). The record is from RNAcentral. Lineage: Eukaryota; Metazoa; Chordata; Lepidosauria; Squamata; Lacertidae.
AACUCCAGUUUUUCAUUUUCUCCUUUCCUUUUCCUUAGUCAAUAAUCUUAAUAGGAAAAAGGAAAAGGAAAGGAGAAAAUGAAAAACUGGAGUU